This 64-nucleotide non-coding RNA is filed under the name Acidiferrobacter thiooxydans. RNAcentral describes it as "Fluoride sequence". It matches the Rfam family "Fluoride riboswitch aptamer (crcB RNA motif)". Lineage: Bacteria; Pseudomonadati; Pseudomonadota; Gammaproteobacteria; Acidiferrobacterales; Acidiferrobacteraceae. RNAcentral also lists the same sequence under 1 other name. The record is from RNAcentral.
ACGAGAACAGGAGAUGGCAUUCCUCCUCAUAACCGCCCUACCGGCUGAUGAUGCCUACAUAGUC